CCAAUUAAUUUAACUUGGGAGUCAGAACAUGGGUGAUAAGGUCCGUGUUCGAAAGGGAAACAGCCCAGACCACCAGCUAAGGUCCCAAAAUAUAUGUUAAGUGGAAAAGGAUGUGGCGUUGCCCAGACAACUAGGAUGUUGGCUUAGAAGCAGCCAUCAUUUAAAGAGUGCGUAAUAGCUCACUAGUCGAGUGACACUGCGCCGAAAAUGUACCGGGGCUAAACAUAUUACCGAAGCUGUGGAUUGUCCUUUGGACAAUGGUAGGAGAGCGUUCUAAGGGCGUUGAAGCAUGAUCGUAAGGACAUGUGGAGCGCUUAGAAGUGAGAAUGCCGGUGUGAGUAGCGAAAGACGGGUGAGAAUCCCGUCCACCGAUUGACUAAGGUUUCCAGAGGAAGGCUCGUCCGCUCUGGGUUAGUCGGGUCCUAAGCUGAGGCCGACAGGCGUAGGCGAUGGAUAACAGGUUGAUAUUCCUGUACCACCUAUAAUCGUUUUAAUCGAUGGGGGGACGCAGUAGGAUAGGCGAAGCGUGCGAUUGGAUUGCACGUCUAAGCAGUAAGGCUGAG
This 563-nucleotide ribosomal RNA is filed under the name Staphylococcus aureus. RNAcentral describes it as "partial 23S ribosomal RNA". It matches the Rfam family "Bacterial large subunit ribosomal RNA", at positions 963 to 1529 of the family's 2925-position model. Lineage: Bacteria; Bacillati; Bacillota; Bacilli; Caryophanales; Staphylococcaceae. The record is from RNAcentral.